This 320-nucleotide ribosomal RNA is filed under the name uncultured Actinomycetes bacterium. RNAcentral's name for it is "bacterial SSU rRNA". It matches the Rfam family "Bacterial small subunit ribosomal RNA", at positions 28 to 351 of the family's 1533-position model. Lineage: Bacteria; Bacillati; Actinomycetota; Actinomycetes. The record is from RNAcentral.
GACGAACGCUGGCGGCGUGCUUAACACAUGCAAGUCGAACGGAAAGGCCCCUUCGGGGUACUCGAGUGGCGAACGGGUGAGUAACACGUGGGUGAUCUGCCCUGCACUUUGGGAUAAGCCUGGGAAACUGGGUCUAAUACCGAAUAGGACCGCAUGCUUCAUGGUGUGUGGUGGAAAGCUUUUGCGGUGUGGGAUGGGCCCGCGGCCUAUCAGCUUGUUGGUGGGGUAAUGGCCUACCAAGGCGACGACGGGUAGCCGGCCUGAGAGGGUGUCCGGCCACACUGGGACUGAGAUACGGCCCAGACACCUACGGGUGGCAG